GCCUAAUACCCUGUGAAGACUUUCCUUCCUGUGGAAAGACAUCCUUCAUCUUUAGCAGAUUUUGGAUCAAGACUCAGUUCCAGCUUUAGAUUGUCACAGAUGAGAGUUUGGAAGCCUUGUAUUUCUGCUGUCUGGAUAGAGAUUCCAAUCUUCGCCAUGCCAUGUCAUGCCAGAGUUUUGUGUAUGUUUGUGUACGUGUGUACAAGUACAUAAGCACUGACAUACUUGCUGGCAUUUUCAAAAGCGAAUCUGGAGUGCUGGCAGUCAGCUUCACUCUCCGCUCAAGUUUGGAUAUGGAUGAAAUUGAGCAGCUGAACUUCAUCUUUGGCAAUACUGAGACCAUGAAGUCUGUGUAUCUAGGUUGUGCCAGUUUCCAGGAUUCCCCUCCACCCCCAUCCCCGCCCCUCGCCCCGGUUCCUCGCACAGACGUGAGCAGCUGCAGCAAUGGAAGACUUCUUUGUAGAGGAGGCAGCUCCAGUGGAACAGCAGGUGUUGCUGUGAGCAGAGAGCUCUCUCUUCCUGAGAGGAUGGAAUUCAGCGGGAACGAAGGCAAGAAGGGAAGGUCUGAGGCCUUGUGGGGAGCAGGGAGGAAGCAGGGCAGGUUGGAGGUUGGGCGAGCAGGCCUGGGUGCGAUGGGUCUUUCACAGCUCCCCGCUCGGCUGGGUUUGUCGGCACUGUGUUUCUUCACUGUCUUUUCCAUUUCACAUGGUGGUGGAGCUGGAUAA
RNAcentral lists this long non-coding RNA (725 nucleotides) under Anser cygnoides (Swan goose). RNAcentral's name for it is "lncRNA (ENSACDG00005019096.1)". Lineage: Eukaryota; Metazoa; Chordata; Aves; Anseriformes; Anatidae. The record is from RNAcentral.